Molecule: ribosomal RNA, 493 nt
Filed under: Alteromonas confluentis
Lineage: Bacteria; Pseudomonadati; Pseudomonadota; Gammaproteobacteria; Alteromonadales; Alteromonadaceae
Description: bacterial SSU rRNA
Rfam family: Bacterial small subunit ribosomal RNA
Source: RNAcentral
CGGGGGGGGGCGGGCCUACACAUGCAAGUCGAACGGUAGCAGGAUGUGCUUGCACAUCGCUGACGAGUGGCGGACGGGUGAGUAAUGCUUGGGAACUUGCCUUUGCGAGGGGGAUAACAGUUGGAAACGACUGCUAAUACCGCAUAAUGUCUUCGGACCAAACGGGGCUUAGGCUCCGGCGCAAAGAGAGGCCCAAGUGAGAUUAGCUAGUUGGUGAGGUAAAGGCUCACCAAGGCGACGAUCUCUAGCUGUUCUGAGAGGAAGAUCAGCCACACUGGGACUGAGACACGGCCCAGACUCCUACGGGAGGCAGCAGUGGGGAAUAUUGCACAAUGGGGGAAACCCUGAUGCAGCCAUGCCGCGUGUGUGAAGAAGGCCUUCGGGUUGUAAAGCACUUUCAGUUGUGAGGAAAGGUUGGUAGUUAAUACCUGCCAGCUGUGACGUUAACAACAGAAGAAGCACCGGCUAACUCCGUGCCAGCAGCCGCGGUAAU